RNAcentral lists this small RNA (138 nucleotides) under Streptococcus peroris ATCC 700780. RNAcentral's name for it is "Streptococcus sRNA SpF22". It matches the Rfam family "Streptococcus sRNA SpF22". The record is from Rfam by way of RNAcentral. Lineage: Bacteria; Bacillati; Bacillota; Bacilli; Lactobacillales; Streptococcaceae.
AGCGUUCGGCACGUGCUUGCCAAUUUCUAUCAGAACAAGGCUAUGACGUUAUCAAUGUCCAAGGUGGCAUGGAUGCUUUAGAAUAAGAAAACUCUCUUUGGAGCCGAAAUUAAGAAAAGGUCCCAAAGGGAAUUUUUU